CGCUGGACCUGCAAAAUCUGCUCCGUGUCUCAGAGAACGCCUACAAGCAGUACCUCAAGUCGCGGCCAAACCCCUCGCCGGAGUCCAUCAGACGGGUUAAAAACAUAGAUCUGUCCAGCAUGGGUGUCCAUCCAGUACUCGGGUGUGGUCUGAAAAAAUGGAACUGGAGUGCCUUCAAAUAGUCGAUGCCAUCAAGAGCUACAAAUCCAAAGCGACCAUCUUCGAAAUCAACUCCAGUAGUAAAACACCAG
Molecule: long non-coding RNA, 251 nt
Organism: Oreochromis aureus
Lineage: Eukaryota; Metazoa; Chordata; Actinopteri; Cichliformes; Cichlidae
Exons: 3
Source: RefSeq, a predicted model, not a curated record